This is a long non-coding RNA of Pseudopipra pipra, 1448 nucleotides long. RefSeq lists it as uncharacterized. The transcript is spliced from 4 exons. The record is from RefSeq and is a predicted model, not a curated record. Lineage: Eukaryota; Metazoa; Chordata; Aves; Passeriformes; Pipridae.
CCCCGGGAGUCUGUGUUUAAUGAAACAGCUUUAGUGUUUUGUUACUGGCUUCUUAGGGCUUAAAUGCAGAGUUUGAAAUGAUGCCUUGUGGUUGAGUGAGUGUCUUCCUGCUGAAUUCAGCAGGCAUUCGGUGAAUUUGGGCUUCUGCAGGUGAAUUCAGUCUGGUGUUGUGGUUUUGUUUGUUUCUGUACUUGGGACAGUGAACCAAAUGUUCUUUUUCCCUCUCCGUCAGUGCUCUGAGGAGACCAAAUGUCCAGAAUGGUGCCGGUGACUUUGCUUGUGCACCUGCCGGGUAGAGGAGCAGGUUUGGCUCUGUGCAGCCCUGCUCCGGAGGCCGGCAGGGUGCUCUCUGGGUGCCCUGCAGCGCUGCCCUGGGAGCAGAGCAGCCCAUGCUGGGCUGUUCCUCAGGGCAGCUCUUGUGCUCUCUCUCGUCCUUUGCAGCGGAGGAGGCGGACCAGCUGAAGAGCCUGUUGCAGCCGAAGCGGCGCGAGCUGGCGCUGGACGUGCCGAAAGCAGAGGAACUGCCUGGGCUGCCAGAGAUGCUGAGAAAGGGCUGACGAAUUAGUGGUUACCACGACAACCUGUCACCUGUAGCUGAGCUCCACCCACCGCAUGUCCAAGGAGCUGCAGGUGAGGAACAAAGUGAAGCAGGAGCAGAAUGCCAGGCUGCAGCACCGAGGGAGAAUUGGAAGGAGCGCAGCUUGGAGGUGGCAGUGCUGGAGAAGCGUGUUAGUGAGCUGCCAGAGCACCUGGAGAAGAGAAAGGCAGCUCUGUCCCAGGGAGAGAAUGUACCAGUUUCUUCAGAUGGGAAUUCACCACAGCCAGUGGCUUCUGCUCCAAGGGGAGUGGCAGCAGUAGGUCCUUCUAUCCAGUCCUCUACUAUGCCACAUAUUGCUUCCAGACCUGAACUUUAGGUGAAAGCAGCAUUCUCAGGUGGGACGUGAGCCUUGCCGGGCAGCUGAGGGUCUGCUAAAAUCACAAACUCCGCCCAGCGUGGGAGCUGGGAACCGUUCACAAGCUAAAGCUCCUGCAGCUCUCCUAAAAACUAUACACCAGUGUGCGUUUGAGUUUCUAGAGUCAGUUUUGGGUCGUACCUGGUAACAAUCUGGUGCCUGGAUUUAACAACUAGCAAAGCCAAGUUUUGUGAUCAUGCAUUUUGGAAAUGACACGUGUAAAGGAUUUACCAUUAGCGUAGCUAACAUGGCUACAGGCUCUGAAGUUAGAACUUCAGAAAAGAAGGCUCCCUGCCAAGGUCAAGGAGGAGUCUUAGAAAGCUAAACAAGUUUUUUCAUCUCUUAUGGACACCUGCGAUGCUCCAAUUAACACCGGACAACAAAGUAUGUUUCUCUUAUAUAUCCAGUGCUGUGUGAAGAAGAAUCACACGUCCAGGUGUAGCAGCAGUAUAUAAUAAAUGUUCUUCUUCUAAUAAACGGACAUUUUGCCAACCA